GGCGGUAGGCUUAACACAUGCAAGUCGUGCGAGAAAGUACCUUCGGGUGCGAGUAGAGCGGCGGACGGGUGAGUAACGCGUAGGAAUCUACCUAGUAGAAGGGGAUAGCCCGGGGAAACUCGGAUUAAUACCGUAUACCUCCUUAGGGAGAAAGAGGGCUUAGCUUUGAUGCUCUCGCUAUUAGAUGAGCCUGCGUAAGAUUAGCUUGUUGGUGAGGUAAUGGCUCACCAAGGCGACGAUCUUUAGCUGGUCUGAGAGGACGAUCAGCCACAUUGGGACUGAGACACGGCCCAGACUCCUACGGGAGGCAGCAGUGGGGAAUAUUGGACAAUGGGCGCAAGCCUGAUCCAGCCAUACCGCGUGUGUGAAGAAGGCUUUCGGGUUGUAAAGCACUUUAAGUAAGGAGGAAAAGAUUGUAGUUAAUACCUGCAAUCCGUGACGUUACUUACAGAAUAAGGACCGGCUAAUUCCGUGCCAGCAGCCGCGGUAAUACGGAAGGUCCAAGCGUUAAUCGGAAUUACUGGGCGUAAAGCGCGCGUAGGUGGUUUUUUAAGUUGGAUGUGAAAGCCCUGGGCUCAACCUAGGAACUGCAUCCAAAACUAGAUGACUAGAGUACGAAAGAGGGAAGUAGAAUUCACAGUGUAGCGGUGGAAUGCGUAGAUAUUGUGAAGAAUACCAAUGGCGAAGGCAGCUUCCUGGUUCUGUACUGACACUAAGGUGCGAAAGCGUGGGUAGCGAACAGGAUUAGAUACCCUGGUAGUCCACGCCGUAAACGAUGACAACUAGCUGUUGGGAGACAAGAUCUCUCAGUGGCGCAGCUAACGCUUUAAGUUGUCCGCC
This 840-nucleotide ribosomal RNA is filed under the name uncultured Gammaproteobacteria bacterium. RNAcentral describes it as "bacterial SSU rRNA". It matches the Rfam family "Bacterial small subunit ribosomal RNA", at positions 38 to 873 of the family's 1533-position model. The record is from RNAcentral. Lineage: Bacteria; Pseudomonadati; Pseudomonadota; Gammaproteobacteria.